UGGGGAUAAUAAAAGUACUAACCCAAAUAUCUAAAAAAGUAAUACCAAUGAAUGAAACCCAAAAAAAAAACAUAAAGAAAAACCUCCUAUAAACCACCCACAGGAAAACCAACAGACUCUCCAGAAAACCAAUAGCCAAACCAGAUAGAAAAACACAAACCAUGGAGAGUGACAGCUUUGGAUUGCAAUCGGAGUGAAAGAUAAGGAGAUUCCGAGAAAACCGAAGCCAAAAACCAGCAAAUUAGCAAGGGGUAAAUCAUGUUCUUGGAGUGUGCAGCCUCGUUUUGUUCUCUCCAUACAUGGGAAAAGUGCAAGAGAAUCUCCUUCAACCUCAAUAUAUUGGAAACCCAGUUCACCAGCAAACCAGAGCGCCCUCUCGCAUGCCAAAGCUUCUGCCACAAACGCAUCUGCAACAUGUAGAUGAGGGGACAGUUGAACGGGUUAUAUGUAGAGCAUCCAUAACUUGAAUCGUCAAUAGGCAGAAGCUGAGUAUGUGAUCGACAGAAUCCCACUUAUCUGAACACAUUAGACAUGCACUAGAAGUAGAAAGAUGACGCUUUUCCAGAUUUGUAAAAGUAGGAAGAAAGUUUCUGUACGUUUUCCACAAAUGUAUUUUGAUUUUCUGCGGUAAUUGUAGAGACCACAGUUUGGUAAAAAAUGUUGUAGCUGUUAUGCCUGUAGAGUCAUUAGGAAUAUUUUGUUUUGGCAGUUUUGAUUGAGUCAAGAGUCUGUAUCCACUCUUUACUGUAUAUACUACUGAGCCAUGCACACGCCAAAUUCGAAUAUCUGGAAUUUGCAAGCGAGAUAGAAGGGUGGACAGAAUUGCGUCAACCUGAGUGGCAUCAGCAAUUUCUCGGACUGCAUCUUCACACCAGGAAUCCACUGAGCAUUCCAGAGAUUCACACUUGCCCCGUCCCCAAUUCGCCAGCCACUACACAUUUCCAGUUAUCCCCGCGCAGCCAUAAUACUUCGCUAGGUAAGGGAUGGGUAAGAACCUAGCCCAGCUAAAAUAAAAUCUAAACCAAACCCAGCUAAAAUAAAAUCUAAGUGUUGGUGAUAUCGCGCCUUUAAUACUUUUGCUAACAAACAAUCAGGCUGGGUCUAAAUUCGCCAGCAUUGUUUUGCUAAUAAAGACACGUUAAAGCUUACCAAAUCGUGAAAUCCUAAUCCACCUUUUGACUUCGAUGCACAUAAUACCUUCCAUAAGCUCCAAUGAAUCCGCUUUGCCGUUUUUGCGUUUCUCCACCAAAAUCUAUUAAGUACGUUUUUGAGCUUUGCACAUAACGAUUUAGGGAAGGGAAAACAUUGCAUUGCAUAGACUGGUAGAGCUUGCAAAACUGACUUUAUUAAAGUCUCCCUUCCACUCAUAGAUAGAUAUCUGAAAUUCCAACUUUUCAUUCUACUUUUAAAUCUAUCAACAUGGUAAGAGAAUGCCCUAUUCUUGCUACGCCCUAUCAUAACUGGCAACCCAAUGUACUCUGCAUUGGAAGAUACAUGGACUCCCAAAGCAUUCGAGACAACAUUUCUAUCAUCUUCUUGCACAUUCGAGCCAAAGAAAAUUAAAGACUUGUCAUAGUUGAUCUUCUGACUUGAAGCCUUUUCAUAUGUCGAAAGAAUAUGUUGGAUGUUCUCUGCCCUAUCUUUUGAAGCAUCCUCAAACAAUAAGCUAUUGUUUGCAAAAUAUAAAUGGUUAACGGACAAAGAGCUUUUCCCGAUUCUAACACCAUUCACCGCCUUUUCCUCCUUAGCUUUCUCAAGUAGCACAAGGAAGCCUUUGGAACAAACAAGGAAUGGGUAUGGGCUAAGAUGAUCGCCCUGUAAGGCACAAUUUUGUAGCUUAGAUUCUCAUUGAUACCCACAGUAUAGCUAAUGGAAGCCACGCAGUUCAUUAUUAAAGUGAUCCAGUCUAUAUGGAAACCUAAUUUAAGCAUCGGUUAGGAAGUCCCAUUCUGCUCUAUCGUAAGUUUUGCUCAUGUCUAAUUUGAGAGCAAAGCUACCUUUUGCGCCCCAUCGCUUUGACUUAAGGGAAUGUAAAAUCUCAUAGGCAAUCAGAGAGCCAUCUAUUUAGAAUAAAGGCUCCUUGUGCCUCUUUUAUGCAUACAUUUAGUAACCCACUCAUUCUAUUCACUAUAGACUUGGCAAUUAUUUUGAACAACACAUUGCGUACACUAAUAGGUCUAAAUUGAGUAAUGUCUUUCGGGUUACUAACCUCGGGAAUCAGGACGAUAUAUGUGCAGUUAAUCUCCUUCACAACAAUGUCUCCACGAAUAAUGCUUAGACAAAAUGAGGAAACCUCAGGACCCACAAUGCUCCAAUGGGGUUGAUAGAAAAGUGUAGGGAAACCAUCUAGGCCAGAAGCUUUCAGAGGCACCAUAUCUUUCAUUGCCACCUAUAUUUCUUCCAUAGUAAAUACCUGCAAUAACUUUUCGUUCAUGUCAUUUGUUAUACUCAUUCGAACAUUCUUAUUUGUGAUAGUGUAGGGAAACCAUCAAGGCCAAAAGCUUUCAGAGGCACCAUAUCUUUCACUGCCACUCGUAUUUCCUCCAUAGAAAAUACCUGCAAUAACUUUUCGUUCAUGUCAUUUGUGAUACUCAUUCGAACAUUCUCAAAUAUUACAUUCGAAUUGUCCUCAUCUGAAGUAGUAAAAAGGUUCUUGAAAUAUCCAGAAAUAGUCGCCUCAAUACCUUUCUCGUCCUCAACACAUUCACCAAUAUCAUUCAUUAGGCCUUUAAUAAGAUUAAAUUUCCUUUUUGCUGUAGUGGAACCAUGGAAGAACUUUGAAUUAUGGUCCCUGUACUUCAACCAAUUGAUACGCGCAUGUUGCUUCCAAUACCUUUCUUCUUUAUCCGCCUCUAAAUUUAAUUAUAAACGGAUGUCUGUCAGCUCAAGAAGAGUGUCAUCCUUGGGUUCUUCUGAAACUAACAAAUCUAAUGUGUCUUCUACACUUUUUUCUUGGCCUUUCAGUCAAUCUUUAGUUGGGAACUUCACUCCAUGAGUUGGCAACCCAACUUGUUUAAUUUGAUAGGAAGGGGGUCGGCAUUCAAAUCCCAAAAUUCUUUGACCACAUUCUCACAGUCUCCCUCCAAGCACCAAUCGGCAUCAAAUUUAAAUCUUCUUUGGCCUUUUCUUCUAUUACCAACUUUCGAACCCACGAAUUUUACAUAAAUCAGACAAUGAUUGGAUAUUGAGUGCGAAAGGUGAUUAAUUGUGAAAUUUGAAAAAAGAUUCCACUAACUAGAAUUCACAACUGCCCGAUCAAGACAUUCCCUAAUAUUUUUAGCCUCAAAUUUUUCUCGUUCCCAUGUGUACCAUCUCCCAUCUUGACCCAAAUCAUGAAGGUCACAAUCCAGAAGUGCAGAUUGAAAGUCUUGCAUCUGUCUCUCCCCUCGAACACGUUCACCUGAUUUUUCAAAGGAGUAGGUAAUUUCGUUGAAAUCCCCUACCACCAACCAUGGGAGAGAUUGAUCAGUACCCGGUCUCUGAAGAAAAUUCCAAGGAUAGCUGAUGUCGCCCCUCAGGAUGACCAUAAAAUCCCGUUAGGCGCCAUUUAAUAUCACUACUUUCUUCGUACACCUCAACAUCUACAUGGUGAUUAGAAAAACUACGCAAGGUUACCUUCAUAUUUGUUGUCCAUCCUAAAGACAACUCCCCUUUAGACCCGUUUGCUCCUAUAUCAAUCCCAUGGCUAUAGCCCCAAUAUCUUUGAAUAUUCUCCAUCCUGUGAACAUUGAAUUUUAUUUCCAUGAGAAAUGAAAUUGGGGGACGAACAACUCUCAAUUUAUUUCUAAGCCAAUUAACAGUCUGUGGGUUCCCUAUCCCAUGAACAUUCCAGCUUAAGGUAUUCAUAAUGUCUGACUUCUCUGCCCUAUAGAGUCGGUCGAUAAAACAUCAUCACUGUCGCGUAUAUCUGCAACUCGAAUUACCCUUUGGCGCUUUUUCCCUUCGUCGUGGUGGAUUGAGCUCCCUUUUCCUAAUAGAUUACAAACCAUAGGUCCAUAAGUUGUUAAGGAAUUACCAUCAUGCACAUAUGUUGUGCGAGCACCUCUAUUAAGAUUAGCAACAAUGUGGUCAUCAAUGCCUUUAUUUUUCUGAUUGCUUUGACCCCCUAUACUAGGGAUUUGAUUCCCAAAAUUACGCCGUAUUGAAUCACUUUACGCCGUAUUGAAACACUUUUCUCAUUCAUUCCCCCAAUGUCCAUUCCAUCUGAUUGGCGUAGCCAUCAGCUUACUCUCUUCGAUCUUUUUUUUGCCGCUAUAAGCAAGGAAACACCCCAGCCAAAGACAAUUUUUGAUGGAUCCACCCUCGUUUGUAUCAGACAGAAACUCUCUCCGUGGCCCAACAUCCCGCAGAUAAAACAGAAAAGCUGAAGUUUCUCAUAUUGGAACUGGGCGUAAUAGGACCAGUCCUCUACUUGAACCUUCUUCCUUCGUUUUAGAGCCACCCGAACAUCCAAUCUAACUUGUAUUCUCAUGUAUUGAGAUAUGCCCAAUGAUGGAAGUUGCAUAUCAUACUCCAUGAAAUUCCUCAUAAAGUCACCAAAACGUCUCGCCAUAUUUUUCGACAUAAGGCUUGGUGGCAAGUCGUGGACUUGGACUCAAAAAAUCGCAGAAUGUAAAGAAACAGUAAGAGGGUCUUCAUUUUUAUGCCAAAGUAAGAUAUGGUUAUUAAAGAACCAUGAUACCACCAAUGGGGUGCCAUAGAUCCGCCAACGUGUUACGUAAUGACGGAAAUGGGCUACACUAUCAGUCAGGCAAGUACCAACCAAAGAGAAUUCCAAAUCUCGAUCAAUUAUCUGUGCAUCUUUAUUAAAGGCGUUUUCUUCCUCAUCAUCUGAGAGGCGAAUGUUUGCCAGAUCGUCUUCCAUGAUGGUCCCACUCAAGAAAGCAGCAAUCACAAAAUCAGUAAGAUCAUCGAGAGAAACAAGAAGAAGUCAGACGUAAGACAAAAGAACGUAUCAACUCGGACAGAGAGAGAGCGUGCUAAUUAGCAGAAUUAAAAGGAUUUUUGGAUAUGUUUUAUAUAUUUUAUUAUUUUUAAACAUUAAUAUGAAUUUUUAGGGGAAUCAAUCUUGUAUUUGAAACUUUUUUUUUGAAAUAGAUUCUUAAUCCGGCUUGACUCAUAA
Molecule: long non-coding RNA, 5122 nt
Organism: Gossypium arboreum
Lineage: Eukaryota; Viridiplantae; Streptophyta; Magnoliopsida; Malvales; Malvaceae
Exons: 5
Source: RefSeq, a predicted model, not a curated record